UACAGAGGGUGCGAGCGUUGUCCGGAAUCACUGGGCGUAAAGGGCGCGUAGGUGGCGUGCCAAGUCCAUGGUGAAAGCUCGAUGCUCAACAUCGAGUCGGCCACGGAUACUGGUUCGCUCGAGCACUGUAGAGGCUAAUGGAAUUCCGGGUGUAGCGGUGGAAUGCGUAGAGAUCCGGAAGAACACCGGUGGCGAAGGCGGUUAGCUGGGCAGUUGCUGACACUGAGGCGCGACAGCGUGGGGAGCAAACAGG
Molecule: ribosomal RNA, 253 nt
Filed under: uncultured bacterium
Lineage: Bacteria
Description: partial 16S ribosomal RNA
Rfam family: Bacterial small subunit ribosomal RNA
Source: RNAcentral